RNAcentral lists this ribosomal RNA (581 nucleotides) under Naganishia globosa. Its description in RNAcentral is "partial large subunit ribosomal RNA". It matches the Rfam family "Eukaryotic large subunit ribosomal RNA", at positions 53 to 628 of the family's 3401-position model. The record is from RNAcentral. Lineage: Eukaryota; Fungi; Basidiomycota; Tremellomycetes; Filobasidiales; Filobasidiaceae.
GAGGAAAAGAAACUAACAAGGAUUCCCCUAGUAACGGCGAGUGAAGCGGGAAGAGCUCAAAUUUGAAAUCUGGUAGCCUUCGGUUGCCCGAGUUGUAAUCUAGAGAAGUGUUUUCCGCGUUGGCCCAUGUACAAGUCCCUUGGAACAGGGCGUCAUAGAGGGUGAGAAUCCCGUCCUUGACAUGGACCCCCAAUGCUUUGUGAUACACUUUCAACGAGUCGAGUUGUUUGGGAAUGCAGCUCAAAAUGGGUGGUGAAUUCCAUCUAAAGCUAAAUAUUGGCGAGAGACCGAUAGCGAACAAGUACCGUGAGGGAAAGAUGAAAAGCACUUUGGAAAGAGAGUUAAACAGUACGUGAAAUUGUUGAAAGGGAAACGAUUGAAGUCAGUCAUGCUCUUUGGAUUAAGCCGUUCUGCGGUGUAUUUCAUUGAGCGGGGUCAACAUCAGUUUUGAUCGCUGGAAAAGGGCAGGAGGAAGGUAGCACUCUCGGGUGAACUUAUAGCCUCUUGUCGUAUACAGUGAUUGGGACUGAGGAACGCAGCAUGCCUUUUGGCCGGGAUUCGUCCACGUACAUGCUUAGGAU